AUCCAGCUGACGAGUACCGAAUAGGACUUGACGCGCUUCCUGGAU
Non-coding RNA from Schistosoma mansoni, 45 nucleotides. Lineage: Eukaryota; Metazoa; Platyhelminthes; Trematoda; Strigeidida; Schistosomatidae. The record is from Rfam.